This 513-nucleotide ribosomal RNA is filed under the name uncultured bacterium. Its description in RNAcentral is "partial 16S ribosomal RNA". It matches the Rfam family "Bacterial small subunit ribosomal RNA", at positions 28 to 523 of the family's 1533-position model. The record is from RNAcentral.
GAUGAACGCUGGCGGCGUGCCUAAUACAUGCAAGUCGAACGCACAGCGAAAGGUGCUUGCACCUUUCAAGUGAGUGGCGAACGGGUGAGUAACACGUGGACAACCUGCCUCAAGGCUGGGGAUAACAUUUGGAAACAGAUGCUAAUACCGAAUAAAACUCAGUGUCGCAUGACACAAAGUUAAAAGGCGCUUUGGCGUCACCUAGAGAUGGAUCCGCGGUGCGUUAGUUAGUUGGUGGGGUAAAGGCCUACCAAGACAAUGAUGCAUAGCCGAGUUGAGAGACUGAUCGGCCACAUUGGGACUGAGACACGGCCCAAACUCCCACGGGAGGCUGCAGUAGGGAAUCUUCCACAAUGGGCGAAAGCCUGAUGGAGCAACGCCGCGUGUGUGAUGAAGGCUUUCGGGUCGUAAAGCACUGUUGUAUGGGAAGAACAGCUAGAAUAGGGAAUGAUUUUAGUUUGACGGUACCAUACCAGAAAGGGACGGCUAAAUACGUGCCAGCAGCCGCAGUAA